Molecule: ribosomal RNA, 178 nt
Filed under: uncultured bacterium
Lineage: Bacteria
Description: partial 16S ribosomal RNA
Rfam family: Bacterial small subunit ribosomal RNA
Source: RNAcentral
GCUGGAGUUGCUAGUAAUCGCGAAUCAGCAUGUCGCGGUGAAUACGUUCCCGGGCCUUGUACACACCGCCCGUCACACCAUGAGAGUUGGCAAUACCCAACGUACGUGAUCUAACCCGCAAGGGAGGAAGCGUCCUAAGGUAGGGUCAGCGAUUGGGGUGAAGUCGUAACAAGGUAAC